RNAcentral lists this ribosomal RNA (222 nucleotides) under uncultured bacterium. RNAcentral describes it as "partial 16S ribosomal RNA". It matches the Rfam family "Bacterial small subunit ribosomal RNA", at positions 328 to 539 of the family's 1533-position model. The record is from RNAcentral.
ACGCUCGACACCUACGGAGGCAGCAGUAGGGAAUCUUCCACAAUGGACGCAAGUCUGAUGGAGCAACGCCGCGUGAGUGAAGAAGGUCUUCGGAUCGUAAAACUCUGUUGUUAGAGAAGAACACGAGUGAGAGUAACUGUUCAUUCGAUGACGGUAUCUAACCAGCAAGUCACGGCUAACUACGUGCCCAGAGCCGCGGUAAUCUGAGCGGGCUGGCAAGGC